RNA transcript from Cyanidioschyzon merolae strain 10D, 1538 nucleotides. RefSeq lists it as hypothetical. The record is from RefSeq and is a predicted model, not a curated record. NCBI's taxonomy places the organism in Eukaryota, Rhodophyta, Bangiophyceae, Cyanidiales, Cyanidiaceae. The transcript has a single exon.
GGGGAUCCCAGAUUGCCGGAUGGACGGGUAUUGGCAUUCGGGAAUGCGUCCAGGAUGCUGCAGCCUAUCUCCAAGUUCCAUUGCUUGUACUUUCUCUCGGAAAUACUGGUUGUUCUGUGGGUUCUAUCGUGAGCAGAGUGCCUGCGUCGCUGCUCCCGCCGUAGCGUCUAUAUCGCUGGAGUGGAUGCAGCACGGAGAUAGAGCUGUGCUUUGUCGUACCACUGAGGGUGUCUGUUCGAGGAACGCUUCACCUGAAACGGUGUCGGGAUACAUAGUGAGUUUGGGAGCCAGAAAGCUGUACAGACAAGCCUAGUGCCUGCGACAGCUCGAAUUGAUAUUCUGGGCGUCCACUGCGACCCGGGCGACGCCCAGAUGCAGCGGAACUGCCCCGAGUCUCAGAGUCAACUGCGUUGCGUACGAGUUGCUCAGAUCUCGCUAGAGCACCGGGCACGGAGGAGAGCAUGGAGCACGAGCCUGGCAGACUCGCGCGGCUUGCAAGAUCUGCCACCUAUACGGUAAACUGUCGACAAUAUGGAAACAUUUUCCCGCUUUUAACGUUUAUCUUAGAGGACGAAAGAAAUCGUUGUAUCGUUGCUAGUGGAUCGUGCGUCUCUGUUCCUUUUCAACCAUGUGGAUCAUCGCUAUAGCUGCACAUCACUUGCUUUCGCUCUCCCGUUGUUAGACGUGCCGUUCCGUCCAUCACGCCGAUACCGUGCGUGUGUAUAAACCGACGUGCAGACGUCUAACAGCCUUUCUCGACCGGCCGCCUGUUCCUGGCUUCAGUUUCUCUCAUAUAAUUUAACCCUGAGCGGUUGCCCCAAAAAGUUGGGUCGCGCCAGCUCCGCGGGUCUUGUAUCCAUCGACGCACAGCUCUCUUUAUUGACGACUGAAUUAAAGUCACGAUUCACAAAAUCCAUCCGUUUCUUGCCGCAGCCGGUUAUAUACACCAGUGCAAGUAGACCUCAAAUUUGUGCCCUCCGUGUCCCUUCCCUUUGCUCUUCCGUCAGCGCUCCGUACUUGUCUAUAUCCCCAGCGCUCCGGUGGCACUUUUGCAUCUCGACCAAAUGACGUGUACACCCCCAGUUCAUGGUGUAUAUAGGACGUUCGGAACUUAUCUAUCGGUAUUGUGACAGAACGGUAUGCUCACUCCUUGUACUCCCUGCGUCAACGGAGCAGGUAUGCUCCCGUUUUGGUUAUCCAGCGCCCUGCUCCGUACGCUCUUACGAGCAUUUGACCCUUGUCUUCCUAGAGGGUGCUUAACUGAUUGAUGUAGUUAGUGAAUGCAAGCUGCUUGCCUCCGUCCAGGUUCAUUCGCUGAUGUGCCCACCAGAGCUUGAUAUACGCUUUCCACCGCUCCUGUUGAUGAGCAGUUUGAGGUUUCAUGAAUUCCCGAAAAGCUUGAAACUCCGCACCGCGGCUCGUCACCUGGAUCACAGCUUCCAGGUACUCUUUCACUCCUGCAUUCCAUGUCUCAAUUAUUUUCCUUGCAUUCAUUUUUCCCGAUUCUAGGUAAUAUCUCGCUUUCGAGAACUUUAAAA